This 158-nucleotide ribosomal RNA is filed under the name Fraxinus dipetala. Its description in RNAcentral is "5.8S ribosomal RNA". It matches the Rfam family "5.8S ribosomal RNA". Rfam says of the family: 5.8S ribosomal RNA (5.8S rRNA) is a component of the large subunit of the eukaryotic ribosome. It is transcribed by RNA polymerase I as part of the 45S precursor that also contains 18S and 28S rRNA. The record is from RNAcentral. Lineage: Eukaryota; Viridiplantae; Streptophyta; Magnoliopsida; Lamiales; Oleaceae.
GACUCUCGGCAACGGAUAUCUUGGCUCUCGCAUCGAUGAAGAACGCAGCAAAAUGCGAUACGUGGUGUGAAUUGCAGAAUCCCGUGAACCAUCGAGUUUUUGAACGCAAGUUGCGCCCGAAGCCAUUAUGCUGAGGGCACGUCUGCCUGGGCGUCACG